AUUCGAUAUUACGACCGACUGCAUUCUAUGAUUAAAUUCAGUUUAAUAUCGCUUUUCUGUGGAAACUUUAAUCAGUGAAAUGUACAAACGAUAUAUUAUUUUGCUCUUGGGCUGGCUGGCGGCGUGCGCCGGGAGAGAGCCUUUCAAGCCACGCCAUGGCUCAUUACCAUACCUCGUGUACUUCCCGUCGCGCUACCGCGGCAUGUGCGUG
Molecule: long non-coding RNA, 211 nt
Organism: Ostrinia nubilalis (European corn borer)
Lineage: Eukaryota; Metazoa; Arthropoda; Insecta; Lepidoptera; Crambidae
Exons: 3
Source: RefSeq, a predicted model, not a curated record